RNAcentral lists this ribosomal RNA (448 nucleotides) under uncultured bacterium. Its description in RNAcentral is "bacterial SSU rRNA". It matches the Rfam family "Bacterial small subunit ribosomal RNA", at positions 929 to 1379 of the family's 1533-position model. The record is from RNAcentral.
GCGGUGGAGCAUGUGGUUCAAUUCGACGCAACGCGAAGAACCUUACCUGGGCUCGAAAUGUAGUGGACCGGGGUGGAAACAUCCCUUCCCGCAAGGGCUGCUAUAUAGGUGCUGCAUGGCUGUCGUCAGCUCGUGUCGUGAGAUGUUGGGUUAAGUCCCGCAACGAGCGCAACCCUUAUUGUCAGUUGCCAUCAUUCAGUUGGGCACUCUGGCGAAACCGCCUCGGAUAACGGGGAGGAAGGUGGGGAUGACGUCAAGUCCUCAUGGCCUUUAUGUCCAGGGCUACACACGUGCUACAAUGGUCGGUACAAACCGUCGCAAACCCGUGAGGGGGAGCUAAUCGGAAAAAGCCGACCUCAGUUCGGAUUGGAGUCUGCAACUCGACUCCAUGAAGCUGGAAUCGCUAGUAAUCGCGGAUCAGAACGCCGCGGUGAAUACGUUCCCGGGC